UGACCUAAACCCUCACCAGAGUAACAAUUGGAGGGCAAGUCUGGUGCCAGCAGCCGCGGUAAUUCCAGCUCCAAUAGCGUAUAUUAAACUUGUUGCAGUUAAAAAGCUCGUAGUUGAAUUUCUGCGUUAUCGAGUUAUUGACUCUUGUCUUCAAUCGAUUUCGCUUUUGGGAUUUAUCCCUUUUUACUUUGAGAAAAUUAGAGUGUUUCAAGCAGACUUUUGUCUUGAAUACUUCAGCAUGGAAUAAUAGAGUAGGACUUUGGUUCUAUUUUGUUGGUUUUUGAACCUUAGUAAUGGUUAAUAGGAACGGUUGGGGGCAUUCGUAUUUAACUGUCAGAGGUGAAAUUCUUAGAUUUGUUAAAGACGAACUACUGCGAAAGCAUUUGCCAAGGACGUUUCCAUUAAUCAAGAACGAAAGUUAGGGG
Molecule: ribosomal RNA, 425 nt
Filed under: Babesia venatorum (nom. ined.)
Lineage: Eukaryota; Apicomplexa; Aconoidasida; Piroplasmida; Babesiidae
Description: SSU rRNA
Rfam family: Eukaryotic small subunit ribosomal RNA
Source: RNAcentral